AUUGAACGCUGGCGGAAUGCUUUACACAUGCAAGUCGAACGGCAGCACGGGAGCUUGCUCCUGGUGGCGAGAGGCGAACGGGUGAGUAACAUAUCGGAACGUACCCAGUGGUGGGGGAUAACACAUCGAAAGAUGUGCUAAUACCGCAUACGACCUGAGGGUGAAAGGGGGGGAUCGCAAGACCUCUCGCCGCUGGAGCGGCCGAUAUCGGAUUAGCUAGUUGGUGAGGUAAAGGCUCACCAAGGCGACGAGCCGUAGCUGGUCUGAGCGGACGACCAGCCAAAAUGGGACUGAGACACGGCCCAGACUCCUACGGGAGGCAGCAGUGGGGAAUUUUGGACAAUGGGGGCAACCCUGAUCCAGCCAUUCCGCGUGAGUGAAGAAGGCCUUCGGGUUGUAAAGCUCUUUCGGCAGGAACGAAACGGUGGAUCCUAAUACGGUCUGCUAAUGACGGUACCUGAAGAAGAAGCACCGGCUAACUACGUGCCAGCAGCCGCCGUAA
RNAcentral lists this ribosomal RNA (502 nucleotides) under uncultured bacterium. RNAcentral's name for it is "partial 16S ribosomal RNA". It matches the Rfam family "Bacterial small subunit ribosomal RNA", at positions 29 to 523 of the family's 1533-position model. The record is from RNAcentral.